RNAcentral lists this ribosomal RNA (570 nucleotides) under Triticum aestivum (bread wheat). RNAcentral describes it as "partial small subunit ribosomal RNA". The record is from RNAcentral. Lineage: Eukaryota; Viridiplantae; Streptophyta; Magnoliopsida; Poales; Poaceae.
AUGAGUCCACCAUACCUUCCUAUAUGCGGUAUUUACCUGUCGUUCCAAGGAAAUUUCUAUGUGCCAAACUCCAAACCUUCAAAUGAAAUUCUGUUUUGUAUGCUCGAUCAGCUCAUGUUUCAACUAGGGCUGCCUAUAUCUUCCAUGCUAGGUGGAUUAUUCUCAAGAGGAGUGGACUCUGCUCCUCAUUCACGAGAAAAUGCCGGUAACCGGGAUGCCCAGUCCCAUGAUCCAAAAAGAUCAAAGCAAGUCAAAAUAAUUAAACAAAACUCCCCCAGGGCUGUUAUUAGUUGGAGGCACUCAUUGUUUGGAACAAGCCAUGGAUUGAUGCUUGUUGGUGGUUGGGGGAGUAUAAACCUUUACCAUUCUGUUUGCGAACUGCCUAUAAUGCAUGUAGUAUGGAAGAUACAACCAUCUCAUAGUUGUUGCGUUGACAGUGAAAGUAUGCCGCUCAAAAUGUUAUUCAAUCUCUAUUUUAAAAUCAAGCUCUGGCACCUCUACAAAUCCCUGCUUCCCUCUGUGAAGGGCCUAUCUAUUUACUUUUAUGUUGAGUCAUCACCCUCUUAUUAA